GCCCCGUUCGUCUAUCGGCCUAGGACGCUGGCCUCUCACGCCGGUAACACGGGUUCAAAUCCCGUACGGGGUA
Molecule: transfer RNA, 73 nt
Filed under: Corynebacterium suicordis
Lineage: Bacteria; Bacillati; Actinomycetota; Actinomycetes; Mycobacteriales; Corynebacteriaceae
Also listed under: 1 other name
Description: tRNA-Glu
Rfam family: tRNA
About the family: Transfer RNA (tRNA) molecules are approximately 80 nucleotides in length.
Source: RNAcentral